GCGGGAGUAGUUCAGCGGUAGAACGCAAGCUUCCCAAGCUUGAUGUCGGGGGUUCGACUCCCCUCUCCCGCUCCA
This 75-nucleotide transfer RNA is filed under the name Candidatus Latescibacterota bacterium. RNAcentral describes it as "tRNA-Gly". It matches the Rfam family "tRNA". From Rfam's summary of the family: Transfer RNA (tRNA) molecules are approximately 80 nucleotides in length. Their secondary structure includes four short double-helical elements and three loops (D, anti-codon, and T loops). Lineage: Bacteria; Pseudomonadati; Candidatus Latescibacterota. The record is from RNAcentral.